GGUCUAUGCAUUGCCGGAAAAUACGACUUAAGAAGGACUCGGGUGCUAAUCACAUGCACAAUUUUGCACCUUGUGAUCAUCCCGGCCGUCAGUGUGAUAAUUCAUGCCCAUGUAUACAAGCACAAAACUUCUGCAAGAAAUUUUAUCAGUGCAGCAGCGAAUGCCAGAACAGAUUUCCUGAGUGAAUAUUGCAGCGAAAUUAUCAGUCAAGACGAAGCUGAC
This is a long non-coding RNA of Harpegnathos saltator (Jerdon's jumping ant), 222 nucleotides long. RefSeq lists it as uncharacterized. The record is from RefSeq and is a predicted model, not a curated record. The transcript has 3 exons. NCBI's taxonomy places the organism in Eukaryota, Metazoa, Arthropoda, Insecta, Hymenoptera, Formicidae.